This is a long non-coding RNA of Cygnus olor (mute swan), 1795 nucleotides long. RefSeq lists it as uncharacterized. Lineage: Eukaryota; Metazoa; Chordata; Aves; Anseriformes; Anatidae. The record is from RefSeq and is a predicted model, not a curated record. The transcript has 3 exons.
UGAGGGGCUGAGGGACUGGGGCAGUGCUGGCUCCCCGGGGUCUGUUACCGCUGCUUCUCCUCUCACACCUGAGGGUAUGAAAACCCUUCAGCUUUCUGAGGGUGUCAGGGGAAUGAGCACACCCAUUGUGGCGGACACCCAGCUUUACCACUUCGUGUGAAAUACAGAUAUGAACAAAUCCCCGCUGCCUGCGCUGACAGGGCAGAGCUUCCCGGAGAGGCUGCCUUGGUGGGACGGGGCAGCAGGGAAGGCCUGGGGCGAGCUGGGGCUGUUACCAGCACUUGUCCUCCGCUACGAAAUCGCGCAGCUGCGCCCCGUCGCUGCGGCGCUGCGCCAUGGGACCGGGCCCGGCCGCUAGGGCGUUGCUCUGCGAGGCCGGGCCGGGCCGUGCUCGUGCUGAGGGCGGGCGGGGAAAGCGCGGACGCGGUGCCGCCUGAGGCGCCGCCGUGCGGGUGCAUCCUGAGGUGACCUCGUAACCCGCGUCUCGCAGGUGAAAGGCAAAAAAAUAAACACUCUGGGUUUCCUCGUCACCUUAAAGUCCCUCAGGAAAGCGAACUUGACGUUGCUAGUACACACUAACCAUCGAUGCUUCUCAACUCUGAAGUGAAACCUCUGAAAACGAAGAUGUUAGAAGUGAAAACGUCUGAAGUUUUCUGGUUGUGAAUUUGCCAUCUCAGCCAUCUUUGCACUUUCCUGAUGCUUUGUACUCAGAAUUGGGUCACGUGUUAUUUUGCAAUGGUACAAUAGUCCUUUUAUGUGAGAACCACCCCUCCGCAACUUGCUUCCUCUGCGUCUUCAGUCUCAAGAUGAUAAAUAGAAAAUGCACUAAGCUCCAGAGUGGAACAAUCAUACUACUUUUGCCAAAAUCUGCAAAAUUAUUGCUUCAAGUACCCUAGUUCUGAAGAAGUUAACCAGAAACUUAAGCUUCAAAGCUCAGAUGUUACUCAUCUGUAGCGUGUUAUUUCAUGUGGCACUGGAGAAGCUGGUGUUAGAUGAUGCCCAAACCUCAGUUGCUAACCCCAGAGAACGAACUUACUUUUCUUGUGGAAGCUAAAAGUUUUGAAGUUCAUUAUAGCAUGAGAGGACAGCACGUCUGAUAAAACUACAAAUAAACCAGUUAUAAAGCUAAGACUAGAAGUGUGCCAUUACAUUGGAAUGACUAUGGGCCAGCUAGUCCAAAACAUACCUCUGACAGUGGUCAGUCCCAAAUGAAAAUGUUAAAAGAAAAUUGUACAGCAGACAAUCCUGGAUUUGUGUGCUCCUAAGGGACAAUCUUUCCUAACCUUGGGCAUAUAGUGGCUAGCUCAUACCCUUAAGCAAGAAAGUUUGGUCUGUGAUUUUACCUCUUUAGAGAGACUAAAGUACAAGCUUUUGAACUGCACUAGAUCUCACUCAAUUUUCCUAAGAUAUUGAAGAACUGUGAAUGUAGUAUGUGAUCUGAAGAGAAUGUCGGUGGAAAAUCAGAGAUCUUGAAAACUGCUGAAAACAGCAGUAGCUUUUCUGAAGAGAUUGAGUGGUGCCUUACUUGCUUACUGAAAGGAGCAGACUGAAGGGCCAGAUGAUACAUGUCAGAAAAACUAAGACCCUUAUCUUAUACUUUGCAACAUGAUAUAUUGCCAAUUUCCCUCUGAAUGUUUAAGAAGCUAUUGCAAAAUAUUUCCAACAUAGACUGCUCCUCUAAAAGUCUGGGUGCUAUCCAGGAUCAGACUCAGCAAUGUCAUCAUGUCAAAAGAGAGGCUGAUCUACAGGCAGUUCAGAAACAAGGAAUCCUGAAAUUGCCUAAGGUAAGCCAAUC